This 253-nucleotide ribosomal RNA is filed under the name uncultured bacterium. RNAcentral's name for it is "partial 16S ribosomal RNA". It matches the Rfam family "Bacterial small subunit ribosomal RNA", at positions 524 to 776 of the family's 1533-position model. The record is from RNAcentral.
UACAGAGGGUGCAAGCGUUAUUCGGAAUUAUUGGGCGUAAAGGGCGCGUAGGCGGUUCUGUAAGUCUGGUGUGAAAUCCCUGGUCUCAAUCCAGGAAGUGCAUUGGAUACUACAAAACUAGAGGAUAGGAGAGGAGAGCGGAAUUCCUGGUGUAGAGGUGAAAUUCGUAGAUAUCAGGAGGAACAACAGUGGCGAAGGCGGCUCUCUGGACUAUUACUGACGCUGAGGCGCGAAAGCGUGGGGAGCAAACAGG